This 274-nucleotide ribosomal RNA is filed under the name uncultured bacterium. RNAcentral describes it as "partial 16S ribosomal RNA". It matches the Rfam family "Bacterial small subunit ribosomal RNA", at positions 523 to 796 of the family's 1533-position model. The record is from RNAcentral.
AUACGGGGGGCGCAAGCGUUGUUCGGAAUUACUGGGCGUAAAGCGCGUGUAGGCGGUUUGGCAAGUCGGGUGUGAAAGCCCUGGGCUCAACCCAGGAACUGCAUUCGAAACUGCCAGGCUAGAGUCCCGGAGAGGAAGGCAGAAUUCCCAGUGUAGGGGUGAAAUCCGUAGAUAUUGGGAGGAAUACCAGUGGCGAAGGCGGCCUUCUGGACGGUGACUGACGCUGAGACGCGAAAGCGUGGGGAGCAAACAGGAUUAGAAACCCCAGUAGUCC